RNAcentral lists this ribosomal RNA (440 nucleotides) under uncultured bacterium. Its description in RNAcentral is "partial 16S ribosomal RNA". It matches the Rfam family "Bacterial small subunit ribosomal RNA", at positions 338 to 795 of the family's 1533-position model. The record is from RNAcentral.
CCUACGGGAGGCAGCAGUAGGGAAUAUUGCUCAAUGGGGGAAACCCUGAAGCAGCAACGCCGCGUGGAGGAUGAAGGUUUUCGGAUUGUAAACUCCUUUUUUUAGAGAAGAUAAUGACGGUAUCUAACGAAUAAGCACCGGCUAACUCCGUGCCAGCAGCCGCGGUAAUACGGAGGGUGCAAGCGUUACUCGGAAUCACUGGGCGUAAAGAGCGCGUAGGCGGGAUAGCAAGUCAGAUGUGAAAUCCUAUGGCUUAACCAUAGAACUGCAUUUGAAACUGUUAUUCUAGAGUAUGGGAGUGGUAGGUGGAAUUCUUGGUGUAGGGGUAAAAUGCGUAGAGAUCAAGAGGAAUACUCAUUGCGAAGGCGACCUGCUAGAACAUAACUGACGCUGAUGCGCGAAAGCGUGGGGAGCAAACAGGAUCAGAUACCCUAGUAGUC